GAUGAACGCUAGCGGGAGGCUUAAUACAUGCAAGUCGAACGGCAGCAUAACACUUCGGUGUUGAUGGCGAGUGGCGCACGGGUGAGUAACGCGUACACAAUCUACCUAUAAGCGGGGGAUAGCCACUGGAAACGGUGAAUAAUACCCCAUAGUAUUGAUUUUAUGAUAUAUGAUCAAUUAAAGCUCCGGCGCUUAUAGAUGAGUGUGCGUCCGAUUAGCUAGUUGGUAAGGUAACGGCUUACCAAGGCGACGAUUGGUAGGGGGCGUGAGAGCGUGAUCCUCCACACGGGUACUGAGACACGGACCCG
RNAcentral lists this ribosomal RNA (308 nucleotides) under uncultured bacterium. Its description in RNAcentral is "bacterial SSU rRNA". It matches the Rfam family "Bacterial small subunit ribosomal RNA", at positions 28 to 334 of the family's 1533-position model. The record is from RNAcentral.